This is a long non-coding RNA of Peromyscus californicus insignis, 4587 nucleotides long. RefSeq lists it as uncharacterized. NCBI's taxonomy places the organism in Eukaryota, Metazoa, Chordata, Mammalia, Rodentia, Cricetidae. The record is from RefSeq and is a predicted model, not a curated record. The transcript is spliced from 3 exons.
CAAGCCAGAGAGAAAACAAAACCGCAGUCACACUCUCAGAAGUCAUGCUAUAGACACACAAACUUGGAAGGAGUCUGCUCCUGUACGCUGGUGAGUCACCCACUCCCGCCUCCUGAGAUCGGAGGCCAGGCUAGCUUUUGCGAGAGAAUGCAGAUCAUAUAAAGGACCUCACUGCAGAACUUCUACUGAUUUAUGACAGGUCACCUCCCCUCUCUGGAGCUGUGCCUCCCAUCCAUGAGUUGAUUCUAGAACAGCACCAUUUGCAGAAAAAUGGACAUGAAUCGCUCAGCUACACCGUGGUACCAGCAGAGGUGGAAGAUGGGAGGGCACACAGCAUGCCAUGGAUUCCACCAUAGAGAUACCUGAUGCCCUGGAGAAAAGUACCACUCUACCCGUCACGUGGGAUCCUGGACCUCUACUUCCCACCUGUGUUCUAGCAAUAGCAAUGCGUUGUGACGUUCUCUCCCUCCCUCCCCUCCUCUCUCUCAACUUUGAAAGCAAACAUGCCAAAAUCAAAAUAUAACCCUGUUGCCUUGACCAUCAUCCUGUUACCAGCUUGCACAUAAUCUACAACAGCAAGUAUGUCCUGCUAUCUGAGGGUUCUGUGCAGGAAGACUGGAGCCUGUCACCACAGAAAGCCAGAGUUACCACCAAGGUCCUAGUGUGACAUUAACACAUUUCACUGUAAUGAGUGAGUCUGUCUCUGGCUAAAAAUAUUGUGGAAAUUAUGACCAUAGCCAAGAUUGUAACUAUUACCACCACAGUGAUGUAGGCAUCAUGGAACUGACCAAAGCUGCCAUACUAGUGGGUCUUCCUUAGCCAGAAACAUGGCAGGGAGGGCCACUGUGCCCUCCCUUUCUCCAAUGAUUAGAUAAAAUGAAUACUUCCAAAUUUCCCUUUAAAAAUAACCCAAAAAAACUGGAUAGCUGUAUGAGUAAGAUAUUAUUGAAUCAAAACACAGUGCCAGGAGAAGGAAGGAGGAGACUGAAAGAAGGUGUAGACAUCUGACUCCUUAAGAAAACCUGAGUCUGGAUUCCUGUCUGCAGAGAGUAACCCAGAAAUCAAGUCGAGACCUUUGGGUGGAAACCAGAUGCCCUGGCUUAAUGGGAUGACAUUCUCUCCCCAACCUCUCUGCAGCAAAGCUCUGGUGCUCUGUAAAGAGAGGCAUCAGGUUAAGAGCUGUCAAGACAAAAAUGCACACUAUACUGACUGCGGAGUGCAUCUCAAUGCUGCAGGUGAAGCAGGUGGGUUUGAGCCCUUGACUUUCCUCUGUGGUAGUUUAAAUAUAAUUGACCCCAUCCGCUCAUGGGCAAUGUCAUUAUUAGGAGGUGUCGUCUUAUUGGAGGAAGUGUGUCCUUGUGGGUGUGGGCUUUGAGGUCUCCUUUGCUUGUUUCACUCACUGUGACACUCAGACCACUUCCUGUUGCCUGUGAGUCAAGAAGUAGGACUCACUCUCAGCUCCUUCUCCAGCACCAUGUCCCACCAUGAUGAUCGACUAAACCUCUGAAAAUGUAAGCCACUCUAAUUAAAUGUUUUUUCUUUAUAAGAGUUGCCAUGGUCCUGAUGUCUCUUCACAGCAAUAGAAACCCUAAGACACUACCUUUACUUCCUUGUUCAUGGAAUAUGCAGCCUUAACUGUGCUCUGUUACCUCCAUAAACUGGAGUGUAAGGUAGCAGCCUCUCUCACCUCCCAGGGGACAGAAACACCUGCCAAACACUCAGCUCUGUGGUACCUGCCACGUAUUUAGUGCUCAGUGUGUGUUUGAACGAUUUUAUAACCAUUCAAAGCACAACCACAGGCUCCUUGUACCAAAACAACAUGCACACUUGAGUGUACACACACACACACACACACACACACACACACACACACACACACACAAUUUGGUGGUAAAUAGAACAAUGACAGUGAAUCCUGCCAUUGCUCUUUGGCUGAAAUUUCUGCAGUGUGGGUAAAUGUUGCAUAAACCAGGACUGAUAAUUCUCUUGGACAUGGCAGCAUUUUCUUCAAGAAAGGAGCAUGAUGCAGUAAAAAUAAAUCUUCCACAAAUGAUGGGUUUAAUUUUUAAAAGUCCCUGCUUCUCUAACGCACCUGGGGGCAUACUCUCUGCCCUUAGUUCACUUCUGUGAUUUGCUGAGAAGACUUUAAAUAACCUAAUUUCCUGGAAAAUGCUAGGAAGUAAAGCAAAAUGGAUCCUUAAAUCAAGUGUGCCCACACAUCAGCAGGCAUCAUUCUAUGGGACAGAUGUUUAGCAAAGCAAAUUUAGGUAAGUACUGGGCCAAUGGCACCCAGGUGAGGUUCAGCUUAUUAGGAGAAUGGCCACUGAUGAAGACAACACUCAGAUCCUUGGAGGACCCAAUCCCAUCAAGUCUAACAGUAGAAAACUGUAGAUCUGUCAUGACUUAGCCCUGUCUCCUUGACACACAAUUUUCUGUGAGCUAAGAAAUGUAUUUCUUUUCUGGGACAUGGAGUAUGUUUUAUUUAAAUUGUAAGUGAUGCAAUUAACCCAGUAAAUGAGACUUGUCUGAACAAUGGGUUUCAGCUGGGGUGUCUUGGGAGACCGGGGAUUCUCCCUGUCAUGGGCCUUGUCUCUGGUCUCUUUCCUCCAGGAGUAACACUGGGCACACUGUAAGGCUAUGGCCAUGACUCAGUAGGUGAAGUGAUGGCCACUCAAGUGUAAGGACCUGAGUUUGAAUUCCUAGGACUCACGUAAAAAAUCCUGAGGAGUUAGUGCACAUAUGUAACCAUAGCACACCUGCGAAAAGAGACUCACCCUACUGUCAAAACCACAUGCCUCAGCAAGGUGGAAAGACAAGUAGUCCUUGAAGGCUGUUCUGAUUGCCACAUGUGUGCACACAGCAUGUACAAGAAGGUACAAUUCAAGGACUGAGCAUAGGAAUAGAAGCUCACAUUCCAAGAGGCACAUUUGUGGACAAGAGAAUGAGUUGAGUUUAUGGAGGAUGAGAUGUUUUCUAGAAAGACAACACUUAGCCGUCAAAUGUAAGGUUAACCAAUGUAACUCUCAUGAUGGUACCCCACUCCUGGAGUGUAUCUGUGAUAAAUUUGGACAAGCACUACAGGGUUAGCCAUGCAGGCACAUCUGUGCCAUGUCAUGUGGGAUGAUACCCAGGGAACUGUAAAGUGUCAGUGGAUCCAAUUCUUGCUGCCAAGUGAGAGUCACCUCUAGAUACUGCCCACACCUGCACGGAAUGGAUUCCAGGUCCCUAUGUGUGACGAGAGGGAAAUCAUGCAGUUAUUUGUGCCACAUGUCUCCGAAAGGCUCCAGACAUAGUUCAGAGUCAGAAUGUGGAGUUUUCAGUAACUGGUGGCUAAAUGAGAUGACUUCCUUAGGUUCACAAAAAGGCAGCUUUUAGGGUGGCUGCUUUGGAGGAGCCAGUUCUGUGGGCAUAAAUUACUGUGCACAACUCCUCCUGGAUCACAUGGCCUAUUAGUCCCAGUUUGGCACUGUACAGAGGUGGCAUUGCUAAAAAGGACUAAGAAGCCUCAACAUGAGGGAAUCCACUGGGUGGAUGUUUACAGGCUCUGGGAGUACCCGAAGUAUGUGUGCAAGGCACUGAGCAUUGGUGCAUAUCCUGGGGUUCACAGCUCCUGUCAGAUUCUCAAGUAAGUCCACAGCCUAGAUACGUUUGGGAUGUGCCUGUUGCCCUACAGCAAGAUAAACCAAGGCAGGCCAAAAAAACAAAACAAAAAACAAAUGGAAGAGAGAACUGUCAGCAGUCCACAAAACCAACUGAAGACACAUCUAAGGAUCCUAACUGGUAGUGAGUAUGAAGAGAGUGUUGUGAGCAUGCAAGGAAUGAGAGAUUCACAAAAGGAAAGCUACAUUGAUUUGAUAUUCAAAACCAGAGUUCCUGAUAUGCCAGAAGUCAAGAUAGAAUUAUAACAAAGGAUGGAAAUUACUUUGAAAAAGAAACUUGUAUUUACAUCAGCAAAGAAGACUCAACAGUGAAGUUAAAAAGGAGCUAUGGACAGCACCUGAUAAUUCACAGAGUGCACUGCUAAGGCAGUGCCAUGGAGCUUAUGGAUAUGAGCUCAUGAUGGCCAGUUCUGGACUCCUUGUGCAGUAACAUGUCGAUAGCUUGAAACUGGCCAGGAUACAAGUUUUCAGAAGAGAAAUUAGCUGAAAGCUCCCCCCGCCGCCAAAGAGCUCCUAGAUAUGAACUAGUUUGAGUGUUAUCGGCAAUAAAAGAAAAAGGAAGUUAGGUUGUGACAAGAUGGAAUAAACAUAGCUUACCUUAUUCCUUUUGGUGCUUGCAACAAAAAGAUCAUCAAGCAAUUGACAGAAAUUGAAAAUUAAAGAAAAAGACUACCUGGAGAACUCUGGACUCAAGGAACUACCCAGUGGUGGACCCUUCUGUGUGCACAUGGGUGCACGCUAGAGCCCCAGCCAGGAUGUAUAAAAGGAACAACAAGAAAAUAUGUAAGUCUAUACAAUCUGGAAAUAACUAAAUGGCUCCAAAGAAAUAAAAAUAAACUCAAGAAAGCCUCCCCUCUGUGGUGAUAAGCCUGGGAAGAAUGAUGUCCAGAAAAAAAAAUUGACCAUAUAUGAUUUUAGUCCAGCUCAA